This 320-nucleotide ribosomal RNA is filed under the name uncultured Alphaproteobacteria bacterium. RNAcentral describes it as "bacterial SSU rRNA". It matches the Rfam family "Bacterial small subunit ribosomal RNA", at positions 86 to 423 of the family's 1533-position model. The record is from RNAcentral. Lineage: Bacteria; Pseudomonadati; Pseudomonadota; Alphaproteobacteria.
UUCGGNUAACUGGCAGACGGGUGCGUAACACGUGGGAACCUACCUAAAGUACGGAAUAACAGUGAGAAAAUCGCUGCUAAUACCGUAUGUGCCCUUCGGGGGAAAGAUUUAUCGCCUUUAGAUGGGCCCGCGGCAGAUUAGCUAGUUGGUGGGGUAAGAGCCUACCAAGGCUACGAUCUGUAGCUGGUCUGAGAGGAUGAUCAGCCACACUGGAACUGAGACACGGUCCAGACUCCUACGGGAGGCAGCAGUGGGGAAUAUUGGGCAAUGGGCGAAAGCCUGACCCAGCCAUGCCGCGUGAGUGAUGAAGGCCUUAGGGU